Molecule: ribosomal RNA, 435 nt
Filed under: uncultured bacterium
Lineage: Bacteria
Description: partial 16S ribosomal RNA
Rfam family: Bacterial small subunit ribosomal RNA
Source: RNAcentral
AGCGAACGCUGGCGGCAGGCUUAACACAUGCAAGUCGAACGGGCUUCUUCGGAAGUCAGUGGCAGACGGGUGAGUAACACGUGGGAACGUGCCCUUCGGUUCGGAAUAACUCAGGGAAACUUGAGCUAAUACCGGAUACGCCCUUUUGGGGAAAGGUUGACUGCCGAAGGAUCGGCCCGCGUCUGAUUAGCUUGUUGGUGGGGUAACGGCCUACCAAGGCGACGAUCAGUAGCUGGUCUGAGAGGAUGAUCAGCCACACUGGGACUGAGACGCGGCCCAGACUCCUACGGGAGGCAGCAGUGGGGAAUAUUGGACAAUGGGCGCAAGCCUGAUCCAGCCAUGCCGCGUGAGUGAUGAAGGCCUUAGGGUUGUAAAGCUCUUUUGUCCGGGACGAUAAUGACGGUACCGGAAGAAUAAGCCCCGGCUAACUUCGUG